GGCCUUUUGAAUUUAAUUUAAGGUCUGACCUGCCCAGUGAUGAAUUUAACGGCCGCGGUAUACUGACCGUGCAAAGGUAGCAUAAUCAUUAGUCUUUUAAUAGGGGGCUGGAAUGAAAGGUUUCACGAGGAACUGACUGUCUCAUUUUAUUUGUUUUAAAAUUUAAUUUUUUGGUUAAAAAGCUAAAAUUUUAUUGGUAGACGAGAAGACCCUAUAGAGCUUUACAUAUAAUUGAUUAGAUAUUUUUAUAUUAAUAUUUCUAAUUAUUUUUGUGUUUUGUUGGGGUGACAAAAAUAUAUAAUUAACUUUUUUAUUUAAAUUACAUUGAUUUAUGAAUAUUAGAUCCAUUCUUGUUGAUUAUUAGACUAAGUUACCUUAGGGAUAACAGCGUAAUCCUCCUCCAGAGUUCAUAUUUACAGGAUGGGCUUGCGACCUCGAUGUUGGAUUAAGAUAAUAAUUAGGUGUAGUCGCUUAAUUGAUAGGUCUGUUCGACCUUUAAAUUCUU
RNAcentral lists this ribosomal RNA (505 nucleotides) under Orthetrum pruinosum. RNAcentral describes it as "partial 16S ribosomal RNA". It matches the Rfam family "Bacterial large subunit ribosomal RNA", at positions 1819 to 2597 of the family's 2925-position model. Lineage: Eukaryota; Metazoa; Arthropoda; Insecta; Odonata; Libellulidae. The record is from RNAcentral.